CUGUCCUUAUGAGUUAUCUAUACGAUGGGUGUUCAGUAUUGCAUUUCCUUUAGUUCACUUUUUGAACUGAGACUGUUAUUGUAUGUUUAAAUGUCAGCCCAUUGUUUGUGGUCAAGCUGUUUUUUUAAUUCAGAUAUCCAAUAAGUUUGGAAUUAAGGCAUUGGAGAGAGAGCAGAAAUUAGACCUUUGGAACAGUGACAGCGGAGGCAGAGUUGCUGAACUUAUGAAACUGGACUGCAUCAAAGGCUGAGACUAUCUGGUGAAGAACAACAAGUCCCAGCCACAGGUUCCCUUCCUCACAACUUCCCAAGUACUCCCAUCUUCCAUAUAUGAUGCGUGGUAACCAUGGUUAACAGAGGAAGAACAAUGAUUUCAAGCACCACCCUCCUUUUAAAGCUUCCUUUGAAAAAGCAGCAGUUUCAGCUGUGAAACGCAUCAGCCGUAUGCCUUUUUGUCACCUUGAUUCACCCAAAAGCCUACCAUCGCCUGAACAACUAUUGGACCCUGCAAAAGCACCAACACUGAACAUUAUCCAUUGCAAAGGAUCGGACUCUCUUCAAACACCACGCAUCACUGGUGAGGACUUCCCUGUUUUAUUUAUUAAGGGGGUCAUUCCGAGUUGUUCGCUCGCUAGCAGAUUUUAGCAGCAUUGCACAUGCUAGGCCGCCGCCCUCUGGGAGUGUAUCUUAGCUUAGCAGAAUUGCGAACGAAAGAUUAGCAGAAUUGCGAAUAGAAAUUUCCUAGCAGUUUCUGAGUAGCUCGAGACUUACUCCUACACUGCGAUCAGUUCAGCCCGUUUCGUUCCUGGUUUGACGUCACAAACACGCCCUGCGUUCGGCCAGCCACUCCCCCGUUUCUCCAGACACUCCCGCGUUUUAUCCAGACACGCCUGCGUUUUUCCGCACACUCCCAGAAAACGGUCAGUUUCCGCCCAGAAACACCCACUUCCUGUCAAUCACACUCCGAUCACUACAACGAUGAAAAUUCUUCGUUCGGACGUGAGUAAAUCUACUAAGUUUUGUGCUAAAAUACUUAGUGCAUGCGCACUGCGUACCAUGCGCAUGCGCAUUUUCGCCUUAAUCGCUCCGUUGCGAAAAUCAGCAAUGAGCAAACAACUCGGAAUGACCCCCUAAAUUGGGACUGAUAAUUCUCCAGCGUUGGAAGUAAGAUCACCAAUCCAGGGACUGUGCUACAGCCCCAGGAAAAUUGUUGUCCAGUUGUGCAGCUUAUAUGGUCCUAUGAGAAAAAUUGGAACAGGCGAGAUGUGAUACAUUUACAUUGUGACUAGAAGCCACAUGUUUUGCAGUGUAAUAUUUAUGAAUUAAUUUUGAAUCCAAUUUUAGUUGUUGCCAUUAUAUGAAUUUUAUUAUUAAACACAUUGAUAUUAAGACAA
Molecule: long non-coding RNA, 1393 nt
Organism: Pseudophryne corroboree (corroboree frog)
Lineage: Eukaryota; Metazoa; Chordata; Amphibia; Anura; Myobatrachidae
Exons: 3
Source: RefSeq, a predicted model, not a curated record